AGCGGGAUGGUGUAACGGCAACACGCCGGUUUCAUGCGCCGGCACUGCAGGUUCGACCCCUGCUCCCGCUA
Molecule: transfer RNA, 71 nt
Filed under: Phycisphaerales bacterium
Lineage: Bacteria; Pseudomonadati; Planctomycetota; Phycisphaerae; Phycisphaerales
Description: tRNA-Met
Rfam family: tRNA
About the family: Transfer RNA (tRNA) molecules are approximately 80 nucleotides in length. Their secondary structure includes four short double-helical elements and three loops (D, anti-codon, and T loops).
Source: RNAcentral